CGGCACUGCAAGUAUGGCUGGUCCUGUGCCUGCGGUCCACUGCCACCUUGGCCUACCACGCUGGCGCCAGAAACUCUGCCGCUGCAUCCUCCAGGCUGUACUGGGAAAGUCGGCACAAAAACUCAUGCUCCGACACAAGAUUCAGCUAGGAGGUAAAACUAAAUGUGAUCAGAAACCUUAGUGCUGAUAAAGAGAUAUAUUGAACCCUGCCUGGCCCAGUGAGAUUACUAGAAAAUUGGUGGAGGCAUAGAUCAGCAUCCUGAAUGUGGCUGUCAGAUUGUGAAGUCUUGAUUGAAUUGUGAAUGAUAUCUGUGAAAAGCAUUUUAGUUGAGUGCAGAAGACCUUCCACUUGAGUGAGCAUGCAGAAGAGUGACUUAAGCUUUUCUCUGCUGCCUAUUAAAGUGGAAGUUACUGUGCUGGCUGAUAAGGAUAUAGAGACAUGGAGACACUGUCUGUGUCCUGAAGGAUUUCUCAAUCUAGUGAGAGAUAUGCAUGUACACAGAUAAUUCUAACAAUAUGGUAUGUUCCACGAUGGAGGUAUGUACAGUUCCCUGUGGGAUGCAGAAUGAAAAACCAUUUGAUUUCUGGUGAUGUUGAAGAUCAGAGUAACAGAUACUUGCAUUGACCAGUCUACACAUAGAAAAUAAAGCCAUGGCUGUUGUAAAUACAGUCAUGAGUAGGAGGACAUUCUAAGUAGUUUGUGUAAAGUUACAAAUGUAAAGUGGGAGUGGUAUUAUGAAACUGAGAUUUUAUUCUGAGUGCUUUAAGAAAGGAAUGCUUUAGAUGAUCGUUGUAGCAGUUAUAUGGAAUAUGUCUUAAAUUGUUUUCAUGUUUGGAUUAGGAGAUCACCUAGAAAAAUAGUGUACUAGUUACAAUGAUAAAUGAGGCUGGCAAAUAAAUAUAUGCCCCCUCCUCCCACCAUGGCUCUCAUGUUAAUUGUUUGGCUGCUGCUGUUCCUUCUGGAACAGCAAUGGUCUGAAAAGAUUUUGCACAAUUUUUCUCAGGUGGGUGGCAGCUGUAUAUGAAAUGUGGAUUUUCAGGAAGACAUCUGAAAAGCGUUACUAAUUCCCUGGUCGUUUUCAUUAAUGGUAGGCCUACUCUUACCAUCAUGUGUGCCUCCCAAAGGGUUUUCUUUGACAAAAAGAGGAGGUGUUUAUAUAUAAACCCCAUUUAAAGAAGAAAUGGCCUUAGUUAUCAUCUCAGCUGCUUUAUUUUGUUUAUUUUCUUUAUGGUUGUACUUCCACUUAAGAGAUAUGUUCUAUAGUUUAAAGUCUAUAAUUAUAUCUGGAACUUUUCCUCAAAGCAAUAUAACCAUUAUUCUUAGGAAGAUUCUCCAUUUAAGGCUUAAAUUGUGGCCUUGGAGAUUUUGACAAUAAUUUUCUGCAAGUAGAAUGAUGAUAUAUUUAAGUAGAACAGGGUGUUCCACUGAACUGUAUGUAUAAGUAGCCAUCCUGGAAGGGACAGUGGUAGGGGUGGGGAUGGAGAGGGGUGGCUUCCUAAAGGAAACCCUGAGCAAGAAAACAAGACAGUACAGUGAGAGUUUGUACUUACGGAAUAGAUCACCUGAACUGAAAUCUGCUCUUACACAACCAGUGUGAUCAUGAACACGAUUUUCAUCUCUGAAUUUGUUUCUUUUUGUGUUAAAUAAGGAUAAUUAUAAUACUUGUUUGCAAUAACUUAAGUAAGGAUUUAAUGAGAUUACUUAUAUAAAUUGCUUAGAACAUGUCUGGAAUAUGCUAAGUGCUGUACCAAGUAUAGUUGCUUCUUUUGUUAACCAUGACAAGAAUUUAGAAGACAGUUAAGUAGAGUUGCUCAUGUUUCAUCUGGUCAGUGAUGAUGUUGAGGUUCAAGAAAGAAGAAACAUUAACCUCAGGAGUUUUCAGUGGUGUAAGGUUACUUAAUCACUUUUUUAUUCCCCUAUACCAAAUAGAUUGGGGAAUAAUAUAAAUCAUUUUGUGCAUGUCCUGUUCACUAAUGUAUUGCCUUUGCUCUUAUUUUUAAAUAGGACAGCUGUUGAAAAGUUGUGUUAUACCUGAAUAAAGAUUAUCCUAAAAUGUAGGAAAAUGCUUUGGAGUUGUUUAAAGCUGAAUUUGAAACCUCAUUCAACUAACUAGCUGUGUGAUCUAAGGCAUGUUGUAUAACCUCAUUGAACCUCAGUUUCCUCAUCUAAUUAUAAUCAUUUGCUGGGUUUCCAUGAAUAUGUUUGUAAUGUAAAGUAUAUGUGAUAAGUACUCUGUAAGUUACAGCAGUCAUUGUUAGUUUGUGGGAUACUCACCAAGUGACAAACAACAGGCCUGGUGGCUUGGAGGACAUCAUCGAUCCAACAGCAACCUGCAGUGGUACUCCUCUGAAGAAAUCCUACUCGGAUGGAUAUAAUACAACCUGCUAAGUGUCCUAGCACUUAUCAGGUUGUAUUAUCAUUGUCCGUGUUUAUGGCUCUCGUCUACCAGACUAAAUUCCUUAAAGGCAAGGACAGUGCCUUAUUCAUCUUUGUAUUCACGGUGCCUAAUCCAGUGCACAUUGUAGGCCUCAUUAAAUGUUUGUUGAAUGAAAAACUGAAUCAUCAACAGACAUUAAUUGGGCGCCUGCUUUGUGAUCUCCAUGGGAUCAGCAUGUCCCUGCCAGUUGUCUACAUCGUCCAGUCCAAGCUGUCUUCAAUAUGCUUUCCUACUGAAGCUUACUCCUAUCUUCUAAUUCAUUUGCUGAUGAAUUUUCUGUAUAGUGCAAAGAUUUAAAUGUGAUUCAUCUCAAGUACCAUCUCCAAUUGACUGUUAGUGCUUGCUUUUCUUAUAUUUUUUAUAAAAUGGAUUGUGAAACCAGGUCUCAACUCUGUAUGAAGUAAUUAUAAACAAUUAUUGAGGUUUGCUGAGGGUGUCAGAAGUGAGAGUAGCAGCACCUGUAUACCAUAUGUCACUUUAUAUUGUAUUUUACAUGAAAUACUCUUUCUAUGAAAACAUUUUUUAGUCUUGACUACUUGCAGAUGUUGAAUGGCUGUUGCUGCUACUACAAUUGCUGCCAGUUGUUCCCUGGGUAGGACCAGAAUGAUCAUUGAUCAGAAAUUGCAUCCUCAUAUUCUGGGCGUUACUUCUGUGGCUGGCAUCCGUAGUUUUCCCCUUGUAACUAUCUCAGCUGUCCUCUUACCUUCAUCAACAGGUGUUUGUCUGAAGUAAUUCCAGUACCUGAAGGGGUAAAAGGAAAAAUCCAGGUGAUGAAGAGUGAGGCCUUCUGAAUGAAGAUAAUUGAAAAGAUCAUGGAUUUGGCUGGAUUAGACAGGACUUGAUUUUUCAAAACAUACUAAAAGUGAAUGAUAUUUUUCUUUGAUGAAGAAUAACAUGAUCAUUUUUUAAAAGUGAAUGUAUAGAUUUAAAAGUUUAGAAUACUGAUAUUCUUACUUAUCUGUCUUAGCUCUCUUUUAAAAGGAUUGUGUCCUCUAACUUUUUUGUUGGAAAAUAAGCAUAUUUCCAUAAAAUUAAAACUCUUGAAAAUACAGUAUUGUUAGGAUAUUUCAUAUGGAUCUAACAAAUUAGAACAGUUUGUAUAUUAUUAAUUUUGCCUGUAAUAUUUUAAUAUAAUGGAUAUCAUUGUAUAGUAAUCUUCACAUCUCUUUGUUAAUUUGUUUAUAAUAUAUUCUUAGAAUUGGAAUUACUAAGUUAGUCUGAUGAGAGCUUCAUUAAGACUCAACUGUGCAAAUUAAAUACCUGUUAACUGUGGUCUGGGAGGUGGUGCAGUGGUUAAGACACUAGACUCUCAAGCAUGAGGUCCUGAGUUUGAUCCCCGGCAGCACAUGUACCAGAGUGAUGGCUGGUUCUUUCUCUCCUAUCUUUUUCAUGAAUAAAUAAAUAAUUUAAAAAUAUG
Erinaceus europaeus (western European hedgehog) is the source of this 3855-nucleotide long non-coding RNA. RefSeq lists it as uncharacterized. The transcript has 5 exons. NCBI's taxonomy places the organism in Eukaryota, Metazoa, Chordata, Mammalia, Eulipotyphla, Erinaceidae. The record is from RefSeq and is a predicted model, not a curated record.